UAAUAAGUGUUUUAUGGCACUUUUUAAAUCCAUAUCCACCUUGUGUGCAAUGUCAGUCGAUCUUCUUCAUGGAGAUCGACCAAACAUCAACCUUUAUUUUUUAACUCUUUGUCUGAGAAAUAUUAUGAAUAAACAAUUCAAAAUA
This 145-nucleotide unclassified non-coding RNA is filed under the name soil metagenome. RNAcentral's name for it is "partial internal transcribed spacer 1". The record is from RNAcentral.